This 253-nucleotide ribosomal RNA is filed under the name uncultured bacterium. RNAcentral's name for it is "partial 16S ribosomal RNA". It matches the Rfam family "Bacterial small subunit ribosomal RNA", at positions 524 to 776 of the family's 1533-position model. The record is from RNAcentral.
UACGUAGGGUGCAAGCGUUAAUCGGAAUUACUGGGCGUAAAGCGUGCGCAGGCGGUUGUGCAAGACAGGGGUGAAAUCCCCGGGCUUAACCUGGGAACUGCACUUGUGACUGCACGGCUGGAGUACGGCAGAGGGGGAUGGAAUUCCGCGUGUAGCAGUGAAAUGCGUAGAUAUGCGGAGGAACACCGAUGGCGAAGGCAGUCCCCUGGGCCUGUACUGACGCUCAUGCACGAAAGCGUGGGGAGCAAACAGG